UACGAACUGUGCGACCGUUAUUCGGAAUCACUGGGCUUACAGGGUGCGUAGGCGGCUUUUCAAGUCAGGUGUGAAAGCCCCCGGCUCAACCGGGGAAUUGCGCUUGAAACUGGAGAGCUCGAGUCAGCUAGAGGUGCACGGAACUUCCAGUGGAGCGGUGAAAUGUGUUGAUAUUGGAAGGAACACCGGAGGCGAAAGCGGUGCACUGGGGCUGGUCUGACGCUGAGGCACGAAAGCCAGGGGAGCGAACGGG
This 253-nucleotide ribosomal RNA is filed under the name uncultured bacterium. RNAcentral describes it as "partial 16S ribosomal RNA". It matches the Rfam family "Bacterial small subunit ribosomal RNA", at positions 524 to 776 of the family's 1533-position model. The record is from RNAcentral.